Molecule: long non-coding RNA, 5509 nt
Organism: Macaca mulatta (Rhesus monkey)
Lineage: Eukaryota; Metazoa; Chordata; Mammalia; Primates; Cercopithecidae
Source: Ensembl
CAGGGAAGGGAUUAGGGAACUAGGGAUAUUUUGAGACCCAAAGAAAAUUUACCCCCUACGAAAGAGCCCAAAGUUUUCCCACCAUUCUGCAAAUCAGCACCUGGACUGCGAGGCCACGAGGGCUGCAUUGAGUCGGGGGAGAAGGAAGGCUGGCCAGUUAGGAAUGACGUCAUGUGGCUACAGUUAAAAAAAAAAAUGCACACUGCUGCUGAGAGCUGGGGUAUAAAUGCCACGGCAGUUGCUGGGCAUUUCUGCCCCGGCUCUUAACAGCGGAGUGUGAGCGGAUCUCUCCAGGUUGGAUCGAGUGGCUGCUUUCCUGGUUGCUAGGGCCGAUAAGACAGGGAAAAUGCUACACUCGGUGUUCAUGGGAAAACAUGUUGAUAUCGAAGAAGAGCUGAGACGUGUUAACAGUCUCUGCGAGCUCUCAGGAAGAUGGUGAGAGGGCUGAGCUCAGGAUGGCUGGACGCAGCAGGGCCUGAGGGUAGGGCUUAGGGCCACAGUGCUGCCCUUGACCAGUGAUGCUGGGAGCCAGGAGACCCAGUUCUGUUUUAUGCGCGGGGCUGGGCAUCACUGCCCUAACCAGGAAAGCAGAAAUCAGAAUGAAUUCAAUCCUAGAGUCUCAUGAGAAGAGAUCACUCAGCCUGCUAGAAGGACCAUCCUGUCUGGAAUCACAGGAAUUAAGAGAAACCACAACUUUGCUCAACUCUCAGUGCAACAUAAAACAUGUUAGCACUUGGGAAAAGGCAGAAUUUGAAGAAGGCAAAAGGAGUUUACUUUGGCAGAAGUUUCCAUAUGACCUUGGUCCUGUGGGAUCUCACUGAAAACUAAUGCUGCAAACUUGUCACACUUUGACUUCAAAAAGUCAAUGUCAGACUGGGCUCGGUGCCUCAUGCGUGUAGUCCCAGCACUUUGGGAAGCCGAGAUGGGUGGAUCGUGUGAGGUCAGGAGUUCAAGAUCAGCCUGGAAGACGUGGUGAAACCCCGUCCCUACUAGAAAUAUAAAAAUUAGCGAGGCAUGGUGAUGGGUGCCUGUAAUCCCAGCUACUCGGGAGGCUAAGGUAGGAGGAUCGUUUGAAUCCGGGUGGUAGAGGUUGCAGUGAGCCGAGAUUGUAUCACUGCACUCCAGCCUGGGCAACAAAGUGAGACUUCAUCUCAAAAAGACAAAAAAACAAAAAGUAAAUGUCACCAAGCACCGACAUGCAGCUGAGGCUAAGUUGGUUGUUCAGUAAUAUGUGAGACAGAGGCCUAAAUUUCACAAACUCCACAAGGCGCUGACCCAGCCACUUGCCUCUGAGCAAGAGCAGGCACAGGAAGAGAUUCCGCUGCAGACACAGUCCUGGGGCUACCACUCUCACAUGCAGCACUGGGCCACUUUGUCUCCUUCAUCGCCCCAGCCUCUGAGGUGAGCAGGUGGGUCCAGCCCCCGCCCUGAGGCCACAAGUCUGAGCCCCUAUCUACUUUCUGGGGAUACUCUCCCCUCCCUCCUUCCCAGCCUUGCCUCAACUGCAGCUCCCACCUCCAGGACUGUUUCCCCAGCACAAGAGCCCUGCUGUUUAAAUCAUCAACUGAAGCCUCGUGCACUGCUUCUCUGAGUGGUGUGUGCUAGCGAGGCCUUCCAGGAUUUUUCUUUUUUUUUUUUUUCUUUUUUUUAAUAUAAUGAUGUCCUGAUCCCAUCCUAAAGUCUGAGCUGGACGAUUGCUCCAUUGAACACAUGGUUGUUACCUAGGUUCUGACUCACCUUCAUUUGCAUGGGACUUUGAGUUCAGCCUGGAUAAUCUGCUGCCUCCAUCACUGAAAUCAUCCGGAUCCCUUUCAGUCUGGAGAGCUGCUACCACCUCUCUACAAUUAGCAAUAGGAGCAGAAUGAGGAGGGCAAGGCUCACACAGUCCCACCCAAACCAUCCAGACACAACCCAGGGGGAGUCCAGGUCACUCAUUCAUUCAUUCAUUGAUUCAUUCAUUCUAAUCUGCUCUCACGGAGCUUCCAAUGUAGAAGUGCUCACAGAGAAGUGAACAAGCACUUAAAAAUGAGGCAACAUAAAUGCCAAGUUGGGGGAAAUUUUCACUGACCUUUGCUCUCUGACUUUGUGAGCAGUGAGGAUGGUACAGUUUGAGACAAUUCACUCAUUCCCUCAGUAGUAAUGUGUCAGACAGUAAAGAUAAACAAGUAAAACAUUAUAGAAUGUUAGAAAUAAGGACCAAGGGGUGAGUGAAUUGGAGAAGGGGUAUAGGAAUUUGCUAUCUAAAGGUAAAUUCUCAAAGACACUCUUUUUUCAUAGUAAUAAUUGUAAAAUACAGUUUGACCAAACAGAGCCCACCUGUAAAAGUGCUUCCUAUCUUGAUGGGUGUGUACAGGCAGAGAGAGGUGGCUCCGAUAGAAUUCUUUUUUUUUUUUUUUUUUUUUGAGACGGAGUCUUGCUCUGUCGCCCAGGCUGGAGUGCAGUGGCUGGAUCUCGGCUCACUGCAAGCUCCGCCUCCCGGGUUCACGCCAUUCUCCUGCCUCAGCCUCCUGAGUAGCUGGGACUACAGGCGCCCGCCACCUCGCCCGGCUAGUUUUUUGUACUUUUUAGUAGAGACGGGGUUUCACCGUGUUAGCCAGGAUGGUCUCAAUCUCCUGACCUCGUGAUCCGCCCGUCUCGGCCUCCCAAAGUGCUGGGAUUACAGGCUUGAGCCACCACGCCCGGCCUGCUCCGAUAGAAUUCUAUAAAGUGGGUCUCAUCUUCCUCAUCUGUGAAAUGGGUGCAAGUAGGGAGGACAAACUUACUGAGCGCAUUAGCCCAGGUCUUCUAAGAAGUAGACUCAGAGGGCAGAUUGACCCUGCAAGAGAUGUCUUUAGGAAAAACAUUGUGAGAGAAAGUGAAGAGGGAACUAGAGGAGGUUGGGAGAGCCAGGAGACCAGGCAGCAGCCCGGGGACCUUGUGCAGGAGAGGGAAGAGAGGAAGGUUUGGUAGGAAGAGUCUGACACUGCAGUACAGUUUCAGCCAAGCUGAUGUUGAGCCAAGGAUGUAGAGCUCUAGGGAACAGGCCUGCCUCAGUAUCCCUGCUGUACUCUUCCCUGGCUGGGAGCAGCCUGUGGGAAGCGUGGCCUCACCCACCCAGAGUUCCAGGGUAGAUUUCAGAGCAUGGGAGCCAGGGCAGGUCAGCUGGAGAAGUGACAGGCACAUUUUUCUGGGCACGAAGGUCCACUCCUUGUGCCCUUGUGUAUUAGUCUGCUAGGGCUGCCGUGACAAAGUUCCAUAACUUGGGUGCCUUCAACACCAGAAGUUCGUUUUCUCACAGUUCCAGGGGCUGGAAGUCCAAGAUCCAGGUGUCACAGGGUUGGUUUCCUCUGAGGCCUCUGUCCCAGGCGUACAGAUGCCACCUUCUCCCUGCGUCUUCACGUGGCCUUCUUUCUGUGUGCGUCUGUGUCCUCACCUCCUCUUCCUAUAAGGACACCAGUCCUAUAGGACUAGGGCCCACCCUAAUGACAUCUUUUCACCUUAGUCCCCUCUUUACAGGCCCUGCCUCCAAAUACAGUCACAUUCUGAGGUGCUUGGGUUAGGACGUCAACAUGGGAAUUUUGGGGGACACAGUUCAAUCCAUAACAUGCCACGUAACUGCUUCCCCCCCAGGUUCAAGUUGCAGCCCCUGUGGUCCCACGUAUCCCUCUUCCCUAAAGAAAACCCAGAAGAACAAAGUUAGUAAGACAAGUUACAGCCUCAACGCUGUGGCUGACCUUGGGGCCAAACCCGUGUCUGUCGUCUCCCUCCUCCACUCUCCGGUUUGAGUUCCCUUCCCCCUCAGCUCUCACCCUGGCAGGUCCUGGUUGUUUACCUGGUAGUGUGACCUUAUCCUCAUUCAUGAAGGGUCCUGAUACGCUUCCUAUUCUGGGGUUGCAAGGAGUGUCUAGUCAUAGUUGCUAUGAGGCAGAAGGUCCCAAGAAGCACCCAAGUGGAUCCCUGGGUCCCACAUGAAUCUCUCCUUCCCAUUGUUUAAAAGGAGCCCUUCUCCUCCUUCCAAUCAGGGUGGCUAACACUUGCCCGGAUGAUGACUCUUCUCACUCACUGAUCCCUGGACACAAAUCCAAGGUGUCCUAGUGGCAGCCAUAACUUACAGUUCCUCGCUAUCACCAGGACUUCUAAGCCUGUAGAAAGCUCAUAGUUGUGAGAACCAGGAACACAAAAUCGCCCAGUGAGUCACCAGGAGAGAUGAUGAGGCAUUCCUGUUUCUACUCCUUCAUCCCUGGAUCUGUGUUUCCGGGUCCCAAGUUUUGCCCAUCAGAGCUCGUAAGUUCCCAGGACCUGAGCUUUCCAAUGACUCUGGAGCUCAGUGACUCUGACAAUCAGAUUGUCAGUCUGCCCCUCAGCUGUGUCUGCUGUUCCACUGCAGGAGAUCUUUGACCGGGAGCAGCCUGUGAGAAACAUGACCUCCGCACAGUCACGGUGACAGAUUCCACCGUGCGGUGGCGAGGACUGUCCCAUCAGCCACACUCCUUCCUGGUUGAAGAUCUGAAAUCAUGGUUGCCAUGCACAGAGUCUGUGAUUGCUCACUCAUUAUUGUUUCCACAGCAUUUAAGUGUGUCUGGGAACAUGUUUUGGAGUCUUUUAACUCCAUUGUUAACUCCAUAAAAUUGAUUACAUUUUAAGACUUACUGACUACAUUUUAUUCUUCUAUACGAUACUGAAAGCUACUGUAUUAGACAUUACUUUUCCGAGCUUCAGUUUCCUCAUCUACAGUGCUUACAUCAUCAGGUCAGUGUGAGCCUGAAGGAAAUGAUGCAUGACUUUUUGUUAUGGACUGAAUGUGUGUGUCUCCCCAAGAUUCUCACAAAUUGAAACCCUAACCCUCAGGAUGAUGGUAUUUGGAGGGGGGCCUUUGGGAGGUUAUUAGCUCAUGAGAGCAGAGCCUUCAUGAAUGGAAUUAGUGCCCUUAUGAAAAAGCAAUUCUAGAGCUUGCUCUUGACCUCUGCUCUUCUGGCCAUAUUAAGAUACAAUGAAGAUGGCUAUUUGCACACCAGGAAGUGGGCCCUCCCCAGACACCAGGUCUGCCAGCACUUUGAUCUUGGGCUUCCUAGCCUUCAGAAUGGUGAGAAAUAAAUGUUUGUUGCUUAAGUCACUCAGACUGUGCUAUUCUGUUACAGCAGCCUGAGCUAACACACUUUUUAAAAGUUAGUUUAAAAACUGGUGGAAUGGGUCAAAAUGAUUCUAAAAUUCAUACAAAAAAAUAAAUUUUCAACAAUUGCCCAGAAGUUUUAUAAAAAGGUAGUAUGCAGUAAGAUCUUGCCUUGUUGUAUAUUAAAAUGCACUACAAAGCUGUCAAAACCAAAACAAUAUGGUUCUUGCAUAGUAAAUAUAAAUGGAUUAAUGUAAUAAAAUAAAGAGCCCCCAAUAAGCUCAAGUAUAUAUAAGAAUUUAAUAUAGAAUAAGGUUCUAUUUUGGUUCAGUAGGGAAAGGAUAAACAAUUCAAUAAAUAGGAAUAACUUAGGGGAAGAUUAGAACCCUAGUUCUGUCCAUCUAUUUCUAAGCAAGCUUG